UCUAUUUUGGCAGAUUAAUUGCAUCAAAUUUAGAAUUUGAGUAUACUUUUAUGGUAGAUAGAA
This 63-nucleotide transfer RNA is filed under the name Alectorobius spheniscus. RNAcentral describes it as "tRNA-Leu". Lineage: Eukaryota; Metazoa; Arthropoda; Arachnida; Ixodida; Argasidae. The record is from RNAcentral.